RNAcentral lists this ribosomal RNA (257 nucleotides) under uncultured bacterium. RNAcentral's name for it is "partial small subunit ribosomal RNA". It matches the Rfam family "Bacterial small subunit ribosomal RNA", at positions 26 to 288 of the family's 1533-position model. The record is from RNAcentral.
AGGACGAACGCUGGCGGCGUGCUUAACACAUGCAAGUCGAGCGGAAAGGCCCUUCGGGGUACUCGAGCGGCGAACGGGUGAGUAACACGUGAGUAACCUGCCCUGGACUUUGGGAUAACCCUCGGAAACGGGGGCUAAUACCGGAUACGACUUCCUGCCGCAUGGUGGGGGGUGGAAAGUUUUUCGGUCUGGGAUGGGCUCGCGGCCUAUCAGCUUGUUGGUGGGGUGAUGGCCUACCAAGGCGACGACGGGUAGCC